RNAcentral lists this ribosomal RNA (253 nucleotides) under uncultured bacterium. RNAcentral describes it as "partial 16S ribosomal RNA". It matches the Rfam family "Bacterial small subunit ribosomal RNA", at positions 524 to 776 of the family's 1533-position model. The record is from RNAcentral.
UACAGAGGGUGCAAGCGUUGUUCGGCAUUAUUGGGCGUAAAGCGCGUGUAGGCGGCCUUGCAAGUCGGGUGUGAAAGCCCUCAGCUCAACUGAGGAAGCGCGCCCGAAACUGCAGAGCUUGAGUACCGGAGAGGAUGGCGGAAUUCCCCAAGUAGAGGUGAAAUUCGUAGAUAUGGGGAGGAACACCGGUGGCGAAGGCGGCCAUCUGGACGGAUACUGACGCUGAGACGCGAAAGCGUGGGGAGCAAACAGG